RNAcentral lists this ribosomal RNA (403 nucleotides) under bacterium. RNAcentral's name for it is "partial 16S ribosomal RNA". It matches the Rfam family "Bacterial small subunit ribosomal RNA", at positions 355 to 776 of the family's 1533-position model. The record is from RNAcentral.
UGGGGAAUAUUGCACAAUGGGGGAAACCCUGAUGCAGCGACGCCGCGUGAACGAAGAAGGUAUUCGUAUCGUUCAGUUCUGUCCUAUGGGAAGAUAAUGACAGUACCAUAGAAGAAAGCUCCGGCUAAAUACGUGCCAGCAGCCGCGGUAAUACGUAUGGAGCGAGCGUUGUCCGGAAUUAUUGGGCGUAAAGGGUACGCAGGCGGUUUAAUAAGUCGAAUGUUAAAGAUCGGGGCUCAACCCCGCAAAGCAUUGGAAACUGAUAAACUUGAGUAGUGGAGAGGAAAGUGGAAUUCCUAGUGUAGUGGUGAAAUACGUAGAUAUUAGGAGGAAUACCAGUAGCGAAGGCGACUUUCUGGACACAAACUGACGCUGGGGUACGAAAGCGUGGGGAGCAAACAGG